This 492-nucleotide ribosomal RNA is filed under the name uncultured bacterium. Its description in RNAcentral is "partial 16S ribosomal RNA". It matches the Rfam family "Bacterial small subunit ribosomal RNA", at positions 29 to 507 of the family's 1533-position model. The record is from RNAcentral.
AGUGAACGCUGGCGGUAGGCCUAACACAUGCAAGUCGAACGGCAGCACAGUAAGAGCUUGCUCUUACGGGUGGCGAGUGGCGGACGGGUGAGGAAUACAUCGGAAUCUACUUUUUCGUGGGGGAUAACGUAGGGAAACUUACGCUAAUACCGCAUACGACCUACGGGUGAAAGCAGGGGAUCUUCGGACCUUGCGCGAUUGAAUGAGCCGAUGUCGGAUUAGCUAGUUGGCGGGGUAAAGGCCCACCAAGGCGACGAUCCGUAGCUGGUCUGAGAGGAUGAUCAGCCACACUGGAACUGAGACACGGUCCAGACUCCUACGGGAGGCAGCAGUGGGGAAUAUUGGACAAUGGGCGCAAGCCUGAUCCAGCCAUACUGCGUAGGUGAAGAAGGCCUUCGGGUUGUAAAGCCCUUUUGUUGGGAAAGAAAAGCAGCAGGUUAAUACCCCGCUGUUCUGACGGUACCCAAAGAAUAAGCACCGGCUAACUUCGUG